RNAcentral lists this ribosomal RNA (469 nucleotides) under uncultured bacterium. Its description in RNAcentral is "partial 16S ribosomal RNA". It matches the Rfam family "Bacterial small subunit ribosomal RNA", at positions 28 to 507 of the family's 1533-position model. The record is from RNAcentral.
GACGAACGCUGGCGGCGUGCUUAACACAUGCAAGUCGAACGGUGAAGCGAGUGCUUGCACUCGUGGAUCAGUGGCGAACGGGUGAGUAACACGUGAGUAACCUGCCCAUCACUCUGGGAUAAGCACUGGAAACGGUGUCUAAUACUGGAUACGACCAACCCUUGCAUGGGGUGUUGGUGGAAAGAUUUAUCGGUGAUGGAUGGACUCGCGGCCUAUCAGCUUGUUGGCGGGGUAAUGGCCCACUAAGGCGACGACGGGUAGCCGGCCUGAGAGGGUGACCGGCCACACUGGGACUGAGACACGGCCCAGACUCCUACGGGAGGCAGCAGUGGGGAAUAUUGCACAAUGGGCGAAAGCCUGAUGCAGCGACGCCGCGUGAGGGAUGACGGCCUUCGGGUUGUAAACCUCUUUCAGCAGGGAAGAAGCGAAAGUGACGGUACCUGCAGAAGAAGCACCGGCUAACUACGUG